AAGUCGUAACAAGGUUUCCGUAGGUGAACCUGCGGAAGGAUCAUUACCAUGAUAAAACAUAGUGAUGUGGAUUUGUAGUAGUAGCAGCGUGUGUGUGCGCACGGGUUUGUCCUGUGUGUGUGUGCGCGCUAUACUAUUAUGUUGGUGUGUGUAUGUGUGUGUGCGUAUGCACACAUACUACUACACCUAUACUAGAACCAUUAGUUUUGUUGAAUACAAAUAUACAUACAACUUUUAACAAUGGAUCUCUAGGCUCUU
This 258-nucleotide unclassified non-coding RNA is filed under the name fungal sp. RNAcentral describes it as "partial internal transcribed spacer region". The stretch from base 1 to 46 matches the Rfam family "Eukaryotic small subunit ribosomal RNA", at positions 1786 to 1831 of the family's 1831-position model. The record is from RNAcentral. Lineage: Eukaryota; Fungi.